UCCAUUCUAAACCCUAAUUCCCUCGCUCCCCAAUUGUAAAACACUUUCAUCUUCAAAAAUCCACCACCAGAUCUGGUGCAAAAUAACCUUCUGGAUGUGUGGUUAAAGUUUUGUUCGCCAUGAAUCCAUCUCCUAUCUUCAAAGUUCGUGUAAUGGGUCCAUCUAUAUUCUCCCUCCGAUUUAUUGAAGUGAACUACGUAAAUUCCCUAAAUCCCCAUGUAGCGGCUCUAAAGGGGAGAUUCUGGCACCCUUGUGGAAAAUAUCCUAAAUCGCUCCUGAUGAAGCGAUUUGUUCAAAUGGUACUGCGGUACCGGAAAAGGGGGAACCGCCUGCCGAGAAACUGUAAAACCUAGAAGUGGUGGCGGGCAACUACACCUCGCCUCUCUUUGUUUAAGACCUUUUACUAGACAUCGAGCCAGGGACCAUGGACAGUGUUCGAUCUGGUCCGUACGGUCAGAUCUUCUAGCCGUGUAACUUUGUGUUCGGGAAGUCUGGUGCCAAAAUUGGGCGAAAGGUCAUUAUACGGAAGGAGUAGAGCUUAUUGAUUCUAUUCUUGGCGUUGUUCGUAUUGAUUCCAUCUGGUGCUGAAAGAAGGUUUGAUUUUGCCGCUGUUCGUAUUUGAUGGACUGAUAGUUACAUUAAAAUUGAAUUCAAUCACACAAAGAUAAGGAAGCUUGAUGACUCACUUUUCUUUAAUGUUUUUCUAAGGCCUACAUACAGGUUGGAAUCUCCAAGUUCUAAACUUUUAGGCAAUAUGUUGAUAAUAUCUGCUGGAGUUUUAUUAAUAGGAAGUUGCAUUGUUAACUGAUUGGAAAUUUUCAGGUGGUUCCCAUGGAUAUGUUGUUGGACACAUUUGCCCUGAAGCACAGGAUUCUGUUCCAUGAUGUUAGGUGUGCAAGUUGGUUAUGUGUUGUGAAGGGAUGUGGCUUGACCCGUUCGAAAUAAGGCUUCAAAUGGAGGAGGCUUUACUUUCAUGGUACUAUAUUUAUCCGUUUAGUGUAAAAGAAAACUUUAUGUGGAUUGGUGAAUGUUUCGGAAAUAAGGGAAAGUAGUGCCAAAACAAAAGGAUAGACUUUGGAUUCAUUAUUUGCAAACAUGAAGGAGCAAAGGAUGAAUGUUUUAUCUCACCAACAACACAACAAUAAUGUGGGGAGAAGAAAU
This is a long non-coding RNA of Helianthus annuus (common sunflower), 1161 nucleotides long. RefSeq lists it as uncharacterized. Lineage: Eukaryota; Viridiplantae; Streptophyta; Magnoliopsida; Asterales; Asteraceae. The transcript has 5 exons. The record is from RefSeq and is a predicted model, not a curated record.